RNAcentral lists this ribosomal RNA (497 nucleotides) under uncultured bacterium. RNAcentral describes it as "partial 16S ribosomal RNA". It matches the Rfam family "Bacterial small subunit ribosomal RNA", at positions 28 to 507 of the family's 1533-position model. The record is from RNAcentral.
GAUGAACGCUGGCGGCGUGCCUAAUACAUGCAAGUCGAGCGAACAGACGAGGAGCUUGCUCCUCUGACGUUAGCGGCGGACGGGUGAGUAACACGUGGAUAACCUACCCAUAAGACUGGGAUAACUUCGGGAAACCGGAGCUAAUACCGGAUAAUAUAUUGAACCGCAUGGUUCAAUAGUGAAAGACGGUUUUGCUGUCACUUAUAGAUGGAUCCGCACCGCAUUAGCUAGUUGGUAAGGUAACGGCUUACCAAGGCAACGAUGCGUAGCCGACCUGAGAGGGUGAUCGGCCACACUGGAACUGAGACACGGUCCAGACUCCUACGGGAGGCAGCAGUAGGGAAUCUUCCGCAAUGGGCGAAAGCUUGACGGAGCAACGCCGCGUGAGUGAUGAAGGUCUUCGGAUCGUAAAACUCUGUUAUUAGGGAAGAACAAAUGUGUAAGUAACUAUGCACGUCUUGACGGUACCUAAUCAGAAAGCCACGGCUAACUACGUG